This is a long non-coding RNA of Columba livia (rock pigeon), 3832 nucleotides long. RefSeq lists it as uncharacterized. Lineage: Eukaryota; Metazoa; Chordata; Aves; Columbiformes; Columbidae. The record is from RefSeq and is a predicted model, not a curated record. The transcript is spliced from 3 exons.
UAUAACUCACCCUCCUAUAAAAUAGGCUACUCAGCUGGGAAACCGACAUACCUUCAGUUUUUGACAUUUUAGUAUACACAGAUUUUCUUAAAUCAUUAUUUGUUGUUAUGGUCAGAACUCCUAAACUGCAUAAUCCACCAACACAAUCUGUAAGGACAAAAUAAGUAGUUGUCAUUCAACACUCCAUUGACACUCCCUGUACCAGAUGCCUUCUCAGUCUUCUCUUCAUCAUUCAAUCUCAGCUGAAUUACUUAUCCUGAAUACCACUUUUUUUCCAAAAAAGUCCAAUAGUAUGGCAUAUAAGGUAUAGAUUUUAAGUUAGUCAAGGGUCCACGUCUCUGUGCUGUUAAGAACGAGAUGUGUGGGCUGAUGUUAGUGCAGGAUUUCCAAAGGAUUGCUGUAGGGCUGCGAUAUCGUUGAGCCAGGUCACUCCUUCCAUUGUGGUACAUCAGGAUUUACAUCAGUGAGGUCACUGUGUACGUACAGCCAAAAUCGGUGAUGGCACAAGGGAACCUGCGCCAUCAUUUAUAAAUGAAGAUGUAAAUGUCAAGUGAACUAAGAUUAUAUCAUUGGUUUGGCUGCUGAUUUCCUUGAUUAUUUUUCUAGAGGUCAGUGAUAAGGAAAUAAUUUUAUGGAAUGUGACCUCUGGUGGAAGGAGCAUUUAUGUGAAUUAUGAACUAGACUGAUGAUGCACACAUCAAAUAAAUAAAGACAGUCCUAGGAAAGAAAAUAAGUUUCCAGAUCAGGCACAAUGUUUGCACACAUUUUUGGAUCCUGCAAAGCACCACACAGAACAUUACAUGACUUCAUAAAUAAAAUUAAAUUAUUGAAAUCAAUUUGAUACAGUUAGUCCUAAAGAUAAUUAAUUAGAGCUAUUCACUGCUGCUGAACAAUACACUUUUUGUAACUUCAUAGGUGGAGCCAUUAUCUUGCUAUCUGUAAAGCUGCCCUACAUCUUCCUAGUUUUCAGCUCCUUAAAACUGUACCUUUUUUUUUAAUUAAGCUCCUAUUUUAAUAUAGAUCAUAUUUUAAUUAAGCUCCUAUUUUCCUUUUUUUUUUUAAUUAAGCUUCUAUUUUAUUUUUUAAGUAGAUAAAGCUAUGAAAUAAUAUUUUGCUGUGUUCACAUUAGUAGUUCAAAUAACUUAAAGCGACGCUAGUGUCCCCUGCUCUGGAGCAGCAAUGUAUUUGCCAGGGAGAUAGUGUGCUGGCAGCUUUGGGGGUUGAGAACAUGGCUUUUGCCAAAUAAGUGAAAAUGUAUCCUAAUUUGACCAAGUCAUAAACUAUAACAGACAACACUUUGCAUGCACCCAUAUAUCUUGCUAUGCCUGCUGAAUACACGCAGCUAAAUUCACUGACGAUUGCAUUUCAGUAGAAAUGUUCAGAUGCAGGGUAAAGCAUGACUUUAUCUGCAAUUUGUCUUCUGGACUGUUCUGGAGUCUUCCCAGGCUGUCAGGUCUGGAACCGGUGACAAGAGGCCUUUUCCUCAGUGCCGUCUGAAGUCCUUGCUGGCCUUAGAGCUUGUGGGAGAGGAAAGUAUCUGAUGUACACACAGAACCAGCAAGGGUUGGACUUCAGUGGGAGAGAACAGAGGGAAUACUUCAACUGAGGCAAGGAACUGACACUCAGCAUGGAGGAGGAAUAAAGGGACAUCUGAUGAGCAGCUGUGUUGCCUGAGGACCAUCAUGUUUGGGAAGGCAAAAAAAUAAAGGAGUAAAGAGGUGAUCACUACCCUGGAAUGGGCAAUGGGAGAGGAACCAGAAAGGGAGCUCAGUCACCUUGAGGCCAUAACUUGAGAAAAAGGACAAAAUCCAUGUGGGCAACUAGAAAAAACUGAUCAAAAAGUUUGGGGACAAGGCCUCGAGUGAAACAGCCCAGCAGCAAGGCUCCCCAAAGGCUUCUGAGCCUGAGCUUCUCAGUUCAUGCUUUGGGCUUUCGGAGAUAACCUGGCUAUGGCGAAACUGAGCCAGUGGGGUCGAGACCAAGAAGCCUGGGGCAGAGAAACCAGAAACGCUUUGCCACAGGCAUUAUGGUUGGGAAAGGGACAGAGGAUGAAGGCUUGAGAAAGGGGUCUGAAAGGUAAGAGCAACACAAGGUGCAACCUGAGGUUGUGCUGAAAAUCAGCAUUGGACUCAUAGAAGAAAUAGAUGAAGGAGGUAGGUGUAGGGAAAUUCUGUAACUAUACUAAUUUAAAGUGGUAUCAAAAUAUAUAGGCAAAAAGACACAAAUUAUGUUUGCACUGACACUUAUUUCUGCCAGACCCCGUCUAGGGAGUCUUUACUAGCGGAGGCUCCAGCAGAUGAGCAGCCUUCAGCAUCCCGAGGGAGCACAAGCUACGCUACAUGCUCCCAUUGCCAAGAGCACCCAGAUACCUACACACGGACACCGGUCCCUCACAAAGAAGCCGCAGACAGGUCGGAGAUGAGGCUCCGCUACUUUCUCCGCUUCCCUCCGCGGGAGCAACCGGGGCAGCGUGGUCGAGAAGCGCCGGUAGUGGUGUCACCACUGGGGCAGACGCGGUGCCGCGGGUCUCACCGGCGCUUCCCGGCCACGCAGCCCCGGGAGCCCCACGGAGCUCCCGUUGGAGGAGAAGCGGAGAUCCCCGGCUGCCUUCAGCCCGCUGACCUCCGUUACGAAACGCAUCACUCGCAAUAAGUGAGGGCAUGGUUUGCAUUACGGAAGAAAUGACCUGAUAAUCGCUCGGUAGCGCCGUGCAGAUGUGAUAAGUGAGUCCGCUCCCCCGGCCCGGCCCGGCCCUGCAGCCUCCCCUCUCCGGGGUGUCCGGCAGCGGAGGGGUCGGUAGCCCCGGGAUUGCAAUAGCGGGGCGCCUUGUAAGGUGAAGGCUGGAGGGAUAAAGGUUGCUUUUGAUCAAGGAGCUCUGCAAAGCAGUAAGCUAUGCCUAAGGCUUUCUGAUAACUGCCUGAAAUGUUUUACAAGUAAAAGUAAAGGAGAUGAAACUUGGAAGGGGAAGAAGAAAUCGUGGGGAGAAAACAACAAAAAAAGUCCAGAAUCAAAGGAGUGCAAAUGUUCGGUGCUCUCCCGCUCUCCCGGGCUGACAGCCGGGCUGCUCCGUCCCGCCGCACCGCAGGCUCCGAGUAAUUUAGACACGGCGAUCCGUGUCGUUGAGGGAGCGGGCGGGGAACACUGAAGCUGUAGCAGUGUUACAACGCCAGCUGUGGGUACGCCUCACUCACUUCUGUAACUUGUGCCCAUCCAUUUAUUUGCUAAGUGAGUAACAGAAUAUAACUUCUUUAUAAACGCAUUUAAUCAUGAAUCACCAAGCAAGCCUGUUUCAUGUAAGCAGUUCUAAGAGGAUAAUAUCAAACUCGCUUGCAAUUUGAAACCUCAAAGAGCUGAAGACUGCUCAGAGCUGAGGCUGGUGGUCGCUGCGCCCAGGCUGGCCGAGCUCUGCGGAUCCAGCCCCGGUUCUGCCGCCUGCUCCGGAGGUGCCACCGGCACAGAGAAACAGGCCUCCCGGGGGAGCAAACAGUGGAGGAUUUGUUGCUGUCAGUGGAAGCAAAAUCAAGGCCACAAUAACCCACUCGCCAAGCUCUUGUUGCUCUUCUGGCUGGUGCCUGAAUUUUCACGCUGGUAUCACAUCAGUGUCCAUAUGAGCGAGUAACUUGAAAUACCAGUCCAAAAAGAAGCGCUUCCACUCUUUUUUUCCCCUUUUAAUGUAUGAGUAUUAAUGUACUUCAUUCUGCGAGAGCGGCUGCGAAACCGAAGCCCAUCAACUCUUUGUGGUUUCCACUGCUGGAAUACUGGCAUUUGCUGUACCUGAUCCUGGUUCCCAGUGAAGGCAUUUUAAUUGUAAUAAACCACAAACUGAACCAUA